This 450-nucleotide ribosomal RNA is filed under the name uncultured bacterium. RNAcentral's name for it is "partial 16S ribosomal RNA". It matches the Rfam family "Bacterial small subunit ribosomal RNA", at positions 354 to 796 of the family's 1533-position model. The record is from RNAcentral.
GUGGGGAAUAUUGGACAAUGGGCGAAAGCCUGAUCCAGCCAUGCCGCGUGUGUGAAGAAGGUCUUCGGAUUGUAAAGCACUUUAAGUUGGGAGGAAGGGCAGUAAGUUAAUACCUUGUUGUUUUGACGUUACCGACAGAAUAAGCACCGGCUAACUUCGUGCCAGCAGCCGCGGUAAUACGAAGGGUGCAAGCGUUAAUCGGAAUUAUUGGGCGUAAAGCGCGCGUAGGUGGUUCGUUAAGUUGGAUAUGAAAGCCCCGGGCUCAACCUGGGAACUGCAUCCAAAACUGGCGAGCUAGAGUACGGUAGAGGGUGGUGGAAUUUCCUGUGUAGCGGUGAAAUGCGUAGAUAUAGGAAGGAACACCAGUGGCGAAGGCGACCACCUGGACUGAUACUGACACUGAGGUGCGAAAGCGUGGGGAGCAAACAGGAUUAGAAACCCUUGUAGUCC